AUGCUGCUAUGAAUCGCCUUUGUCCCAUGAUCCUGUGCUCACCAGUCCUACAAUUACCCUUUUCUUCCUAGACUUUAAAGUUGGGAUCAGACACAAGGAUACUUUGAUUUCUUUACCCUACACCAGCCACAGUAUCUGAUUUAAUAUAGGAGCUUAAUAUAACUUUAAUGAGGAGAUAAAUGGAUGAAGAAAGACAGGAGUGAAGAAAUGGAGUCACUGCAAAAAUAAAACAACAAAAGGAGCUUACCAGUGUGCAAGCCUCCGGAGCAGGGACAGGCGUUAGUAUAUUUUAUAUUUUUUAAUUGUGGUAGCAUACAAACCACAAGGUUGACUGUCUGUGCCAUCUUCAGGUGCACACUCAGGCUUCUCCAUCCUCAGUGCACACUCAGGUCUCCUCCAUCCUCAGGCACACACUCUGGUCUCCUCCAUCCUCAGUGCACACUCUGGUCUCCUCCAUUCUCAGGUGCACACUCAGGUCUCCUCCAUCCUCAGUGCAUACUCAGGUCUCCUCCAUCCUCAGGCACACACUCUGGUCUCCUCCAUCCUCAGUGCACACUCUGGUUUCCUCCAUUCUCAGGUGCACACUCAGGUCUCCUGCAUCCCCAGUGCACACUCAGGUCUCCUCCAUCCUCAGUGCAUACUCAGGUCUCCUCCAUCCUCAGGCACACACUCUGGUCUCCUCCAUCCUCAGUGCACACUCUGGUCUCCUCCAUUCUCAGGUGCACCCUCAGGUCUCCUGCAUCCUCAGUGCACACUCAGGUCUCCUCCAUCCUCAGUGCACACACAGGCUUCUCCAUCCUCAGUGCACACUCAGGCUUCUCCAUCCUCAGUGCACAUUCAGGCUUCUCCAUCCUCAGGUGCACACUCAGGUCUCCUCCAUCCUCAGGUGCACACUCAGGUCUCCUCCAUCCUCAGUGCACACUCAGGCUUCUCCAUCCUCAGGCACACACUCAGGUCUCCUCCAUCCUCAGUGCACACUCAGAUCUCCUCCAUCCUCAGGUGCACACUCAGGUCUUCUCCAUCUUCAAGUGUACACACUCAGAUAUUUGUGUCUGUGUUUCCCUGAUGAUCAGUGGUGGUGAACAUCUCUGCAUGCGCUUAUCAGCCACGGGUGAUACCUUAUAUUUUGACGAGGGGUUGAUGGUAGUUAGCCUCAUAGAUGGGCGUUUGAACUUUGUGGUCAAGCAACUCCGCUGCUGUGUUUCUGCCCUGAGUGGCUUGUUACUGUCUCCUCGUUACAUAUUGACCAGCUGUCAGUCUGGUGCCUGGAGCUUUGCACCUGUGAGCUCAUCCGAUUCUCA
Molecule: long non-coding RNA, 1301 nt
Filed under: Sus scrofa (pig)
Lineage: Eukaryota; Metazoa; Chordata; Mammalia; Artiodactyla; Suidae
Description: lncRNA (ENSSSCG00065033804.1)
Source: RNAcentral